Sebastes umbrosus (honeycomb rockfish) is the source of this 1936-nucleotide long non-coding RNA. RefSeq lists it as uncharacterized. NCBI's taxonomy places the organism in Eukaryota, Metazoa, Chordata, Actinopteri, Perciformes, Sebastidae. The transcript is spliced from 6 exons. The record is from RefSeq and is a predicted model, not a curated record.
GAAAUGAUACGUCAUAAAUGUUUGCGUUCACGGAGCGCAGAGUUCACGGGCCGAGGCGACUUCAAGUACAGUCAAUUAAGUAUCAAAUAUGGGGUGGGUUAGCAUUAUUGUACCUCUGCAUAGUUAAAACAUGUCUCUGUCUAACGUUAUCUAUAUUAAUGACGGAGUUAAAGCGCUGUCCCCGGCUAGCAGCUAAGUGACAACACGGUGUUGGUGACCGGUAACUAGGGACCGGUAACCAGGGGAACGCUGGGUCCGGCUAGCAUGCGAUGCUAACUGCUGACAUGCUCAAGGAGGACUGGUUUAAUGCAAGGAGAAUGAACGAGAAGAGGAGUUGAACCUGGAGCCCAUUGUGAAGGACCUAGUGGUGCUAAAGACUGGCAGGAUGCCUUUCAGACAGGUGCUUUACAGUUCCUGGGUUCCCUGGUGUAGGAGAGUUCAUAGAUCUCAUCCUCAGUGUAGUACAGAUCCAGGGACAGCUGUAGGGAAGGACAGGACACAUGUCAGCACAUGAGAGGAGAGAGCAAAGAUGCUCCUGUCCCUGCUCUCGGAUCAGCUCCCGGAACUGGUCCAGGCUGUCUGUCAAGCUGUGGUGCAACCGGAACAUCAUCCAGAAUUCAUGGAUCCAAUGCCUGCAGAGGCCUGCCCAAACUUGUUGGAGGUUUUGCAGCAACAUGCCAGGAGAAGUGUCGGGAAAAACAGAGACUUCUGGGAAACCAUAACAUAUUCCACCAAGUAAAACACAACACUAGUGCCAAAGGGUCAGCAGCAUGGACUCACCGAAGGACUGCAGACAUGCCUGGAUGAGCUCCUCCCAGCUCCCCCCUUUGGUGAGGGGACCCAGGGACAUCAUGGAUUUAGCCGGGGCGGGAUGGGCCGGGCUGGGUUUGUGGAACCUGUGAGGGCGGCCUGGAGGAGAAACUCCAGACCUGGAGCAUCCUGGAGUCACCCUCCUUGAGAAAAACACCAACACAAGAAGAUCUGCAGAACAGGAACUGGGUGGACCUUCCUCUACAGAUAACAGUGGCUGCAGGUUCCAUUAAGGCUUAUAUGGGGGGGGGAUAAAGUUAUUGUACCAUACUGUAGGUGGUCCAGGAAGGAUGUUUCCUGAAGUCUUUUAACUGCUUUAAGAAGAGUCUUAUCACACUUAUCUGGGUGGAGAACAGAGCUCUGAAGGGAGAAGAGAUUCAUGUAGACAUUAUGCCAAUGAAUAACAAGGGAGUUCGUUAACAUUUGAUCGCUAAAGUGACACCCAAGGGCCAUUAAAAUAUUGAUUUAAGGGAUUUAAUUUGUGAUCAUGGAUUAUUCAGCACAUUAUGAUGACUUAAAAACUACAUCUGGUGUGUUUAGACAUCUUUCCUCAAAGAAGGAAUUACAUGCCAACACACCAGAGUUAGCAGUAAUAUAUAAUGUGAAAAACCUUAUAUAGGAUAUAAUUGGAAAUGCAGUUAAUCACAGUUUUUCUUUGACCAUAAAACAUCCAGUUUAAGCAGAAAGGAAUGGAGUUAAAUUAGCUCUGGAGCUUUGCCCUUUUUCACUUGACAUGAACUGAGCUCAGGAGGAGCAACACACAUAAUAUACUGUAAGGUGCAUAAUAUAAGGUGCAUACAGUGUGUGUGAUUAAAUCAGCUGUGUGUCUCCUGCACCCCAAGAGCGUCCUCCCUUUGAUGAGGUGCUGUCCACAGACGAGCAGCAGCUUGAGUUAACGUGUUUCCACAGGCAGAGUGAAGUCAUGAGAGCUUGUGUAUUAGCAGCUGGCUACUUCUGAUAAGAUAGCAUGUCUGCACCCUUUUCUGUGUCAAUGCUGUUAUCAGACCAGUCAGUGAUGCCUUAAGCCUGCCCCCAUGUGGCACAUCGAAAUCUGAUUUCAUUUUUAUUGUCAUGACGUUGAGCCCUGUACUGCUGGCAGAAAUGAAAUAAAAAAAAUAAAUAACAA